AAUCAUACACGGUUGGCCUAUU
This 22-nucleotide microRNA is filed under the name Oryctolagus cuniculus (rabbit). Lineage: Eukaryota; Metazoa; Chordata; Mammalia; Lagomorpha; Leporidae. The record is from RNAcentral.